RNAcentral lists this unclassified non-coding RNA (147 nucleotides) under soil metagenome. RNAcentral's name for it is "partial internal transcribed spacer 1". The record is from RNAcentral.
CCGAGUUUACAACUCCCAAACCCCUGUGAACAUACCUACUGUUGCCUCGGCGGAUCAGCCCGCGCCCCGUAAAAAGGGACGGCCCGCCCGAGGACCCCUAAACUCUGUUUUUAGUGGAACUUCUGAGUAAAACAAACAAAUAAAUCA